This 612-nucleotide ribosomal RNA is filed under the name Salmonella enterica subsp. enterica serovar Enteritidis. RNAcentral describes it as "partial 23S ribosomal RNA". It matches the Rfam family "Bacterial large subunit ribosomal RNA", at positions 1 to 589 of the family's 2925-position model. The record is from RNAcentral. Lineage: Bacteria; Pseudomonadati; Pseudomonadota; Gammaproteobacteria; Enterobacterales; Enterobacteriaceae.
GGGUUGUGAGGUUAAGCGACUAAGCGUACACGGUGGAUGCCCUGGCAGUCAGAGGCGAUGAAGGGCGUGCUAAUCUGCGAUAAGCGCCGGUAAGGUGAUAUGAACCGUUAUAACCGGCGAUACCCGAAUGGGGAAACCCAGUGUGACUCGUCACACUAUCAUUAACUGAAUCCAUAGGUUAAUGAGGCGAACCGGGGGAACUGAAACAUCUAAGUACCCCGAGGAAAAGAAAUCAACCGAGAUUCCCCCAGUAGCGGCGAGCGAACGGGGAGGAGCCCAGAGCCUGAAUCAGCAUGUGUGUUAGUGGAAGCGUCUGGAAAGGCGCGCGAUACAGGGUGACAGCCCCGUACACAAAAGCGCAUGUGCUGUGAGCUCGAUGAGUAGGGCGGGACACGUGGUAUCCUGUCUGAAUAUGGGGGGACCAUCCUCCAAGGCUAAAUACUCCUGACUGACCGAUAGUGAACCAGUACCGUGAGGGAAAGGCGAAAAGAACCCCGGCGAGGGGAGUGAAAAAGAACCUGAAACCGUGUACGUACAAGCAGUGGGAGCCCCACCACCAAAGCAUUUGCUGUACCGCGUUGACGGAGCGAAGCGACGUCAAACCGAUAAAAC